This is a long non-coding RNA of Vidua macroura (Pin-tailed whydah), 1697 nucleotides long. RefSeq lists it as uncharacterized. The transcript is spliced from 3 exons. The record is from RefSeq and is a predicted model, not a curated record. Lineage: Eukaryota; Metazoa; Chordata; Aves; Passeriformes; Viduidae.
AGGGACCGUGACUCCACCACCUCCCCGGGCGGCCCAUUCCGAGCCUUAAUCACCUUUUCUGCGAAGAAAUUCUUCCCAAUGUCCAACCUCAGCCUUCUCUUGCUUGGGACUGUGGCCUCUUGUCCUGUCGCUGGUGGCCUGGGAGGAGAGGCCGACCCCACCCGGCCACAGCCUCGUGUAGGAGCGAUAAGGUCACCCCAGAGCCUGUGUUCCUCCAGAGGCUCUAGGUACACACACACACUGCUAUAAAUGAAUGCUCCAAUUUGUUAAUUAAAGAAAAUUUAUUAAAUGGUCCAAAUAUAAAUUUAGAGAAUAACAACGAGAAGCCACUAUCCAAUCAAAAAGGGUCAGUGCCGAGCCCGGGUAUCGGCGCUGACCACUACAGCACAGAGUCCCCUGUGUUUCACACCGACUGUCCUGUCCGAGCGAUUUUUAUACGGUUUUUCUUGCCCGAGGCAGAGUCCCUUUUGUUCCUUUUUGGACUGCACAUAUUCGUGUGGAGUUCUUUCUCUGUGGCAAGUUGAACAAAACAUGUCCGGAGAGUGAUGAGCACCCAUGAUGGCGUUCCCGGAAUCCGGCAUUGAGAUGUAUCUCCCCGAUGGCUCCGGCUGUCUCAAUCUCAGAUAUUUAUCGCGUAUUCAUCGUCUGGUAGUUCCUCGGAUCACCUUGAGUGGCGAUCAUUCUCCGGGCUGGCCACGUUCAUUCGAUUGUAACUGAGGCUCUCCCUCCCUUGUCCAGGUGGUUUCGACACUGUGUUGCAAUCCCCGUCACUGACUUGUGCGUUUAAAACUUUUUACAAGAGUAUAUCUUAACAAUACAUAACUGUAAAAUAUACAACAAUUUUCUUUGCACGAAUUAUCAUACACACAUAUAACACACACCGCGUUUAAACACGCAGUGGUUUGGCUGGGAAAGGCUUAAAACAUAGAACGUUUCACGUUUCAGAGAGGUUCGUGGAAUGAAAAUACCUCGAACGCGUUUAAGGGUAAUUAUAAUUAAUCUGCUAAUUUAAUCAGCAACAGAAGGCUUUUGUGAAGCAGGGGGAAUUAUAUUGUUAAUGCAGCGUUUCUCUGACGCUCUGAAUCCUGUUACAAUAGCUGAAGAUAAUCGUGGAUGACUAUUAAUGAGUCUGUGUGACUAUUAAUGAGGCUCUAUUACUUCGCCUCCUGGUGGCUGUUCUCUUUUUUCAGCUUAGUGUCAGAAGCGCAGAGUGAAGCUUGUGCUGACCCGGCAGGACAGAAGGAGAAGCCAGAGGGAACAGGAAAUAGGAAGUUUCCAGGACCAGAAGCACUAAUCAGUAUGCAGUUGUGAGUCCAUAAAAUUCACUUAACUUGAAUGCAAGAUCAGAUGAGAGGACUCAAAGGAAUACCAAGUUUGCUGAUGUCACUAAAUUGGGAUGAGCUGUUCACUCCCUCGAGGCCAGAGAGGCCCUGCAGAGAGACCUUGAUGAAUUAGAGAGCUGGGCAGUCACCAACCGUGUGAAGUUCAACAAGGGCAAGUGGCAAAUUCUGCACCUGGGAUGGUGCAGCCCUGGAUGUAGAGACUGGGGAAUGAGAGGCUGGAGAGCAGUGCCAUGGAAAGGGACCUGGGGAUCCUGGUCCAUGGCAAGUUGAACAUGAGCCAGCAGUGCCCUGGCAGCCAGGAGGGCCACCCGUGUCCUGGGGGGCAUCAGGGACAGCAUCCCCAGCCGGGCAAGG